Molecule: ribosomal RNA, 185 nt
Filed under: uncultured bacterium
Lineage: Bacteria
Description: partial 16S ribosomal RNA
Rfam family: Bacterial small subunit ribosomal RNA
Source: RNAcentral
ACAUGAAGCUGGAAUCGCUAGUAAUCGCGAAUCAGAAUGUCGCGGUGAAUACGUUCCCGGGUCUUGUACACACCGCCCGUCACACCAUGGGAGUCAGUAACGCCCGAAGUCAGUGACCCAACCAGAGAUGGAGGGAGCUGCCGAAGGCGGGACCGAUAACUGGGGUGAAGUCGUAACAAGGUACC